UGCCGGGAGGAGGGAGCGGCCUCCGCCCGGCCCAGCAGCGCCCGGCGCCCCGCUGCGAGGAGAGCGGGAGCCGCGGAGCUUUCUGUCCGCCGAGGUGGGACCCGGCGCCGGCCCGGCCGCUGCCCCGUCCUGCCCGCGGUGGAGGAAAACGGGCAGCUCAGCGCCACAGCGCACACUAUGGGGUUUUUUAAAAAUCCGCUCUUUAUUUGUUAUUUGGGUUUUAUUUCCACUUGCGAGACAAAGUCUGUUCCCUUCAAAGCAGCUGUAUCUCCUCCUGGUACCCGCAGAGCUCUGUGAAGUCUGCACUGGCUCUGACCCUCGUCUGCCUCACCACAGCUCACGGGGCACCUUUAGCUGACAAGUCACGGUAUAAAAUGGAUGAACGUACAGAAAAUGCGCCAAGCCGGCCCUUCCCGUGUGUUGUCUUGUGCCGAAAGGCAAAGGCGCACGCGUUGACACCCACGUCGCUACCGAUCAGUGCUUACUGUCCCUGGGAAGGAGGAACAGAUCUGGAGUGGGACUCUGCAGAUCCCCAGAGCACGUGAGAGCAGCACCGCAGAGGUACUGAGGGGAUCCCUCACCACAUCUGUUACAGGCACCUUUGCAGCCAGACAGAAGACCUGCUCCCCCAUUUUACCACUGCAGCUUUUUCUUAAUAUAAUCAGCUACUGUGUUUUACAUACCUGUCGUCUUAAGGAAGCGGCAUCUACAACUGUCAUGUCGUCUGGUGUUCCCUCAAGUGGAGUAUCCGUGCUGGAAAGACCGUACCUAUCAAGUAAGGGAGAUAGCUUAGUGGUCUCGUCCAUGCAAAGAUUAGCAAGUACCAUAUUUUAUCCACAUUCUAGUAGAUGUAUUUUUUGUGGUGACAGAGAGAACCUUUUUUUUUUUUUUUUUUAAAUUUUCCAGCUUUUACAGAGUUGUCUUUUUCAACAGGUUCCUAACCAAAUAAAGCACAAACACAUAUGAAGUGGGUAAGUGCUUGACUGAAUCUGGGUUUAUUGCUCUCCACGUUUUGAUAUUUUUGAAGAUUGUCCAUGCAGACAGACUUCUUGCCGUCACUUGGUCUCUCCAAAGACUGUUUCCAGUUGUUUAACUGAUUAAUGAAACCUGAAAAUUGCAUGAGCUAAAAUGCUGAAGUUGCAAGAGACUUGCAAAAGAUUAGAAAAAAAUAAAAUGAAGACUGGGAAAGAAUUGGGUGUCUUAUGCUCAGUACGUCCUUAAAUAUCCCAAGUGGACACCUACUGAGACUAAUGAUCUCAGUCACAUUAAUCUUAGUAUUUUAGGCAAAGACAGAACCUUGCAAAUAAAUCAUCUGGUGCAGAGUCACCACUUACUGAAUGUUGCAUGCAUUGAAAAGUUAGUUUCCAGAGCACCUCUCAGUUUUCUUAAUGUAGCAAUUCAGAGAAAGCAUUAUUUUAACUCCAGGGCAAGGUAAUUAAACACAGCACAUUUUUUUAAUGAGUUGGGAAGUGGCAGAAAGUCUACGUAAAGUAUCUGUUUUGAUCAUCCAAAUGCUACCUCUUAACCAGAUUCUUUUCCAGCAAACAGCAGGUAAAAGUAACUCCUAAUGCUGCACCUACCACUGCGCUUCUCACUUCUGAACUUAAAGCUGGUUUUCAGUGUUAGCUCCCCUAGAUUCGCUUUGUCAUCAGGACACGUUAACAUCUUAGGAAAAUAAUGCCACACAACAAAAUACAUCUAAAAGAAUGUUCAGCAUUUAAUGACAGUUAAUGGACAACUUCAACUAACGUGAACAUGAGUAGAAUUCCUGGAGCUUGCAGAACGCACUUCAGUGCAGAUCCUGCUCCUGCACUAAAUGUUCGUUCAUCACUUGCAGCAAAUUUUAUAGAACAGGCCCAGCUCAGGCAGGACUCCACACCCCCAGCAGAAAACUUGUCAGAAGUUUCUCUGUAUCAUAUUGUUUCUAAAUAAGAACUGCUGUUUCUAGAUGAGAGUUGCAUUAGUCCUCACUUAGAUAACAAGGAGCUCCUUGAGCAGCACUAUAAAAGAUAGGAAGUUAAUUAUGUUUGGUCUGUGGGGGUUUUUUUGGAUUGAAGGGUAAAGAGGAGAGGGAAACCUUUUCCAGGUUACACCAGGAUAAAAACGGCUUUUAGUAAGGGAAUAGUCAAAUAAGCAAUUGUCUGUCAACAGAGUCACUGCUGUUACAAAAACACAGUAUGAGACCAACAACAGUUUUGGCAAAUAGUUUUGUUAGAAAAAGCUUUUCUCAUUAAAGCCAUUAUUCAUUUUUCAUUCUAAAAGAGACUUCAAACAUUAACUUAACUGUAAUUUAUGCUAUUUACUACUUGUAGUUCUUUCAGUUUGGGCAACAUUAAAAAGACAAAAACUGUU
This is a long non-coding RNA of Columba livia (rock pigeon), 2352 nucleotides long. RefSeq lists it as uncharacterized. NCBI's taxonomy places the organism in Eukaryota, Metazoa, Chordata, Aves, Columbiformes, Columbidae. The record is from RefSeq and is a predicted model, not a curated record. The transcript has 2 exons.